This 282-nucleotide long non-coding RNA is filed under the name Chloebia gouldiae (Gouldian finch). Its description in RNAcentral is "Erythrura gouldiae (Gouldian finch) lncRNA (ENSEGOG00005011857.1)". The record is from RNAcentral. Lineage: Eukaryota; Metazoa; Chordata; Aves; Passeriformes; Passeridae.
GCAAUUCCCAAAAAGAUGACGGUCUCUUUGCUGUCAGAGGUGAAGUACCAAACAGAGAAGAAAGCAGAAAAUGAAGAGCUGAUGGAAUUUUUGACUACAGGGAUGCACACAACAGUUGAAUUCUGAUUCUCCCGUCUGCUUGCAAACUUAUUAAAAGUGUGACCUUGAAAACAGAAGAGGACAAGAAAAAUUGCAAAUGUCUUGGAAGUCUCCUUAUCUUGGUGUAAACCUGUAACACAUGUCUUUAAUAAAAGAAUCAGGCUAAGAGGGUGGACUUAUUAA